GGAGAUGUGGCUCGAGUGGUCGAAGGCAAUAGUCUGAAAAACUAUAACAUGUCACAGUGUCGUUAGUUCGAAUCUAACCGUCUCCG
Molecule: transfer RNA, 86 nt
Filed under: Bacteroidetes bacterium RIFCSPLOWO2_12_FULL_35_15
Lineage: Bacteria; Pseudomonadati; Bacteroidota
Description: tRNA-Phe
Rfam family: tRNA
About the family: Transfer RNA (tRNA) molecules are approximately 80 nucleotides in length. Their secondary structure includes four short double-helical elements and three loops (D, anti-codon, and T loops).
Source: RNAcentral